UAGUGAACCAGUACCGUGAGGGAAAGGUGAAAAGAACCCCGGGAGGGGAGUGAAAUAGAACCUGAAACCGUAAGCUUACAAGCAGACAGAGCGCCAUAGGAGUGUGAUGUCGUACUUUUUGUAGAACGGGCCGGCGAGUUACGAUGUGAUGCGAGGUUAAGUGUCAAAGACACGGAGCCGAAGCGAAAGCGAAUCUGAAGAGGGUGAGAAGUAUCAUGUCGUAGACCCGAAACCGAAUGACCUAACCAUGAGCAGGUUGAAGCAAUGGUAAAACGUUGUGGAGGACCGAACACACGCCUGUUGAAAUAGUCGGUGAUGACUUGUGGUUAGCGGAGAAAUUCCAAACGAAUUCGGAUAUAGCUGGUUCUCCUCGAAAUAGCUUUAGGGCUAGCCUCGCAUAUAAUCCAUGUCGGUAGAGCACUAAAUGGCCUAGGGGGCUUCACAGCCUACCGAAGCUUAUUAAACUCCGAAUGGCAAGGAAUUGAGUGCGGGAGUCAGACAGCGACAGCUAAGUGCCGUUGUCAAAAGGGAAACAGCCCAGAUCUACAGCUAAGGUCCCGAAGUACAGGUUAAGUGGAAAAGGAUGUGACAAUGCAUAGACAACCAGGAUGUUGGCUCAGAAGCAGCCACGCAUUAAAAGAGUGCGUAAUAGCUCACUGGUCGAGUGAUGUUGCGCCGAAAAUUAACGGGGCUCAAACCUGACACCGAAGCUUAGGAAUACGCGAAGCGUAUUGGUAGAGGAGCAAUGUAUACGAGCGGAAGCCGUACCGGAAGGAGCGGUGGAUUGUAUAGAAGAGAGAAUGCCGGCAUAAGUAGCGAGAGCGGAGCGAGAAACUCCGCCGUCGAAAGUCUGAGGUUUUCCGGGGAAGGUUCGUCCACCCGGAGUAAGUCGGGACCUAAGCGGAGGCCGAAAGGCGUACGUGAUGGACAACAGGUUGAUAAUCCUGUACUACCGAGAGAGUUAAUGAAGCAGUGACACGGAAAGAUAGAAGAAGCGCGCAGAUGGAAAAGCGCGUCCAAGCAGUGAGGGAGGCUUGUAGUAAAGUACGCAAGUCAUAAUCCUGGGCUGUGACGGGGAGUGGACCAAGGAAACGAAGUCUUUGAAUCUACGCCGGCGAGAAAAGCUGCUAAAUGUUUCGAGGUACCCGUACCGCAAACCGACACAGGUAGACGAGAAGAAAAUUCUAAGACGAACGGGAGAACCCUUGUUAAGGAACUCGGCAAAAUGACCCCGUAACUUCGGGAGAAGGGGAGCCACAGAGAUGUGGCCGCAGUGAAGAGGCCCAAGCGACUGUUUAUCAAAAACACAGGUUUCUGCUAAGGCGUAAGCCAAGGUAUAGGAGCUGACUCCUGCCCAGUGCCGGAAGGUCAAGGGGAUCCGUCAGCGCAAGCGAAGCGGUGAACUUAAGCCCCGGUGAACGGCGGCCGUAACUAUAACGGUCCUAAGGUAGCGAAAUUCCUUGUCGGGUAAGUUCCGACCCGCACGAAUGGCGUAACGAUUUGGGCACUGUCUCAACAGGGGGCCCGGCGAAAUUGUAGUAUACGUGAAGAUGCGUAUUAACCCGCGACUGGACGGAAAGACCCCGUAGAGCUUUACUGUAACUUGAUAUUGAAUCUCGGCAAUUGAUGCACAGAAUAGGUGGGAGACUGAGAAGCAGGUGUUUCGGCAUCUGUGGAGUCAACUUUGGGAUACCACUCUUCGAUUGCUGCGAUUCUAACCGGGACCGUUGAAGCACGGCUCGGGACAUUGUCAGGUGGGCAGUUUGACUGGGGCGGUCGCCUCCUAAAGUGUAACGGAGGCGCCCAAAGGUUCCCUCAGAAUGGUUGGAAAUCAUUCGGCGAGUGUAAAGGCAAAAGGGAGCUUAACUGUGAGACAGACAUGUCGAACAGAUGCGAAAGCAGGGCUUAGUGAUCAGGUGGUAUGAGAAUGGAAUUGCCAUCGCUUAACGGAUAAAAGUUACCUCGGGGAUAACAGGCUUAUCUCCCCCAAGAGUUCACAUCGACGGGGAGGUUUGGCACCUCGAUGUCGGCUCG
RNAcentral lists this ribosomal RNA (2034 nucleotides) under human metagenome. RNAcentral's name for it is "bacterial LSU rRNA". It matches the Rfam family "Bacterial large subunit ribosomal RNA", at positions 488 to 2539 of the family's 2925-position model. The record is from RNAcentral.